UGUUGGCAUCCUUGAUCAGGUGUUGCUUA
This 29-nucleotide non-coding RNA is filed under the name Rattus norvegicus (Norway rat). The record is from RNAcentral. Lineage: Eukaryota; Metazoa; Chordata; Mammalia; Rodentia; Muridae.